UAAUAAUAAUAAUACUAACGAAAUCUAUAAGGUAUAAUAAUAAUUUACGAGUUAUAUCGACCGAAUUUAUAUAUGGAGCCUAUCGAUAUACUAUGUGUAAGUGCCAAGUGUUGUGCGUAAGAAUAAUUGAGAAUAAGAGUUGUUAAAGAAUCAUAUGACUAUGAUUGUGAAUAAAUAUAAUUUCUUGAUGUAAAGUAGUUAAAAUAAGAAAUUCCUAUUACUUAGUGUAAUUUUGUAAGUUACUUAUUUUAUUGGAUGGAGAAGGAAAGUUAUAAUUAUGAUCUUAGUAGAACAUAAAGGGAGC
This 304-nucleotide long non-coding RNA is filed under the name Jatropha curcas. Its description in RNAcentral is "long non-coding RNA (JCUR_LNC000616)". The record is from RNAcentral. Lineage: Eukaryota; Viridiplantae; Streptophyta; Magnoliopsida; Malpighiales; Euphorbiaceae.